UGGGGAAUAUUGCACAAUGGGCGAAAGCCUGAUGCAGCAACGCCGCGUGAGUGAUGAAGGCCUUCGGGUUGUAAAGCUCUGUCUUUUGGGACGAUAAUGACGGUACCAAAGGAGGAAGCCACGGCUAACUACGUGCCAGCAGCCGCGGUAAUACGUAAGUGGCAAGCGUUGUCCGGAUUUACUGGGCGUAAAGGAUGCGUAGGCGGAUUUUUAAGUGAGAUGUGAAAACCCUAAGCUUAACUUGGGGACUGCAUUUCAUACUGGAAAUCUAGAGUGCGGGAGAGGAGAAUGGAAUUCCUAGUGUAGCGGUGAAAUGCGUAGAGAUUAGGAAGAACACCAGUGGCGAAGGCGAUUCUCUGGGCCGUAACUGACGCUGAGGCAUGAAAGCGUGGGUAGCAAACAGGAUUAGAUACCCUGGUAGUCCACGCCGUAAACGAUGAGUACUAGGUGUAGGAGGUAUCGACCCCUUCUGUGCCGCAGUUAACACAAUAAGUACUCCGCCUGGGAAGUACGAUCGCAAGAUUAAAACUCAAAUGAAUUGACGGGGUCAUAGCUGUUUUCCU
RNAcentral lists this ribosomal RNA (563 nucleotides) under uncultured bacterium. RNAcentral describes it as "partial 16S ribosomal RNA". It matches the Rfam family "Bacterial small subunit ribosomal RNA", at positions 355 to 1375 of the family's 1533-position model. The record is from RNAcentral.